This 626-nucleotide unclassified non-coding RNA is filed under the name Hevea brasiliensis (rubber tree). Lineage: Eukaryota; Viridiplantae; Streptophyta; Magnoliopsida; Malpighiales; Euphorbiaceae. The record is from RNAcentral.
CCAGGUUAUUAUAAGCAAAAGAAAAAGAAGAAAAAUACACCAGCUUUAUUCAUGUGGUGCCAGCAAUCUAUAAUGUAGAAGUUCAAAAAAAAAAAAAUCAUCUAAUAUCUAUUCUUGGGUUAUCAACACCUUACCUUUCUGCAGUAAAGCUCAACUCCUUCAUAAAAAAAAGGGGGAAAAAAAAAAAAAAAAAUAGAGCUCCAUUUUAUGAUGACUAUGACUCGAAAUCUGAAUAAUUUGAGCUGAAAUUGCGAAUUAGGGGCAAGGGUACUUCAACCAAUCCUUCUAACAUUUGCAGAGCCAUCUUCAUUGAAGGCCUUUUCGAGGGAUCCUCUUGAAUACACCAGAUUGCUAUGCUUACCCAUCUGCUCACCCUAUGCUUAUCAGCCGCAGCUUCCUCAUCAAAUUCAACCACAUCAUCUGACCUUCCUUCCACAAAACAAUCAUAAACCCAGUCUGUUAGUAUCUCUUCAUGUUCGAGUUUCGAUACAUUCUUUCUGCAGCAGAUAAUCUCUAACAACAUAACACCAAAACUGUAAACGUCCACUUUAGCAGUAAUAUGUAACAGCUACAUUUCUGAACCAUUCAGGAGCUACAUAUCCUCUUGUUCCUCUGAUAUUGGUCAA